RNAcentral lists this ribosomal RNA (433 nucleotides) under uncultured bacterium. Its description in RNAcentral is "partial 16S ribosomal RNA". It matches the Rfam family "Bacterial small subunit ribosomal RNA", at positions 29 to 507 of the family's 1533-position model. The record is from RNAcentral.
AACGAACGCUGGCGGCAUGCCUAACACAUGCAAGUCGAACGAGACCUUCGGGUCUAGUGGCGCACGGGUGCGUAACGCGUGGGAACCUGCCCUUAGGUUCGGAAUAACUCACCGAAAGGGGUGCUAAUACCGGCUAAUGUCUUCGGACCACAGUUUUAGCGCUUUUGGCUGGGCCCGCGUUGGAUUAGCUAGUUGGUAGGUUAAACGCCUACCAAGGUGACGAUCCAUAGCUGGUCUGAGAGGAUCAUCAGCCACACUGGGACUGAGACGCGUCCCAGACUCCUACGGUAGGCAGCAGUGUGGAAUAUUGGACAACGCGCCAAAGCCUGAUCCAGCAAUGACGCGUGAGGGAUGAAUGCCUUAGUGUUGUAAAGCUCUUUUACCCGUGAUGAUAAUGACAGUACCGUGAGAAUAAGCUCCGGCUAACUCCGUG